Long non-coding RNA from Biomphalaria glabrata, 306 nucleotides. RefSeq lists it as uncharacterized. NCBI's taxonomy places the organism in Eukaryota, Metazoa, Mollusca, Gastropoda, Planorbidae. The record is from RefSeq and is a predicted model, not a curated record. The transcript has 2 exons.
AUCGCUACGGUAAUCAGGUCACAAGGUCACUACCGGCUAGACGGUGUCGGUAGUAUCAUGUAGGCCUAAUAGUUCGUGAUAGAUCUAGUCAUUCGCUAAUGAUAUGAAAACUCUGGAUCUAUAUUAUUACAGAUAUUUAUCUGAAAUCCACGCAUUUUCAAUAACAGUAGCUAGAUGGGUAUACCGCUAGAUGUUUAUGAAGAGUAGUGUGUAGCCUAACAUAUGCUCGCCCCUCCUCCUUUCACAUUCUGGACUUGGAACCAGACAACGGAGGAGUUACCGGCAUUUUAACUAAAAUGUAACUGU